GACGUUCCAGUCCACUCAGGGACUUUCCUCAGAAUCAAAUAUGAUAUUUGAUCCGGAGGAAAGUCCCUGAGUGGACUGGAACUU
Molecule: non-coding RNA, 84 nt
Organism: Pelobates cultripes (western spadefoot toad)
Lineage: Eukaryota; Metazoa; Chordata; Amphibia; Anura; Pelobatidae
Source: the annotation of a GenBank genome assembly